Molecule: small nuclear RNA, 96 nt
Organism: Cavia porcellus (domestic guinea pig)
Lineage: Eukaryota; Metazoa; Chordata; Mammalia; Rodentia; Caviidae
Source: Ensembl
GUGCUCACUGGGCAACACACAUACUAAAAUCGGAACAAUACAGAGAUUAGCCUGGGCCCUGCACAAGGAUGUCACUUAUCUUAGUUACUUUUUGUU